Molecule: RNA transcript, 2562 nt
Organism: Trifolium pratense (red clover)
Lineage: Eukaryota; Viridiplantae; Streptophyta; Magnoliopsida; Fabales; Fabaceae
Gene name: pentatricopeptide repeat-containing protein At1g12300, mitochondrial-like
Exons: 3
Source: RefSeq, a predicted model, not a curated record
UCAAUUGAAAUGGGUUGAAACCCUAAAUUGAAGAAGCUCCGUUUGUUGGUCUCAAAACUCUCUCUGAUAGACAUUCCUCUCCUCAAUCAUCGCUCAAAUGUCAUUCUUAAGGUUCACCUUUCGAUCUUCUUCUUCUUCUUCUUUUUCUGUUUCCUUCUUAAGGCGAUUAUACUCUCACUCUCCAUUUCAUGUUAAUAAUAAUAAUGCUGAUGAUGCUAUUUCCUCAUUCAACCGCAUGCUUCGUAUGAAUCCAACCCCAUCCAUUGUUGAAUUUUGCAAGAUUUUAGCUUCCCUUGUUAAGAUGAAACAUUACCCCACUGCUAUUUCACUUUCUCACCAAUUGGAAUUUAAUGGAAUUAGGCCAGAUAUUGUUACUUUCAACAUCUUGAUCAAUUGUUACUGCCACGUUCCUCAAAUGUCUUUUGCAUUUUCUAUAUUAGCUAAGAUUCUCAAGUUGGGUUAUCAGCCCAAUGUCAUAACCUUAAAUACUCUUAUCAAUGGUCUGUGUUUCAACGGUAAGGUCAAGGAAGCACUGCAUUUUCACGACCAUGUGAUUGCACAUGGAUUUCACCUCAACCAAGUUAGCUACGGGACCUUGAUCAAUGGACUGUGUAAAAUUGGAGAAACAAGGGCUGCCUUGCAAGUUCUAAGACAAAUUGAAGGGAAAUUGGUCAAACCUGAUGCAAUGAUGUACACCACAAUUAUUGACAGUUUGUGUAAAGAUAAGUUUAUAAGAGAUGCUUACGAUUUAUAUUCUGAAAUGAUUGCAAAGAAUAUUUCUCCUGAUGUUUUCACUUACACUUCUCUAAUAUAUGGAUUUUGCAUUGUUGGUCAAUUGAAAGAAGCAUUUGAUUUGUUCCAUGAAAUGCCAUUGAAAAACAUCAACCCAGAUGUUUAUACUUUUACUACACUGGUUGAUGCUCUAUGCAAAGAAGGGAAGGUGAAAGAAGCUAAAAAUGUAUUAGCUGUGAUGAUGAAAGCAGGCGUGGAACCUGAUGUUGCUACAUACAGUUCAUUAAUGGAUGGGUAUUGCCUAAUCAAUGAAGUGAAUAAGGCCAAAGUUAUAUUCAACAGUAUGGCCCAAAGAGGAGUGAUGCCCAAUGUUAAUUGCUAUAGUGUCGUGAUUAAUGGGCUGUGUAAAAUUAAAAUGAUGGAUGAAGCCACGAAUCUCUUCAAAGAAAUGCAAAACAAUAAGAUUAUUCCUGAUACAGUAACUUACAGUUCUCUAAUUGAUGGUUUGUGCAAAUCAGGGAGAAUCUCUCAUGCUUGGGAGCUUCUUGUUGAGAUGCAAGAUAGGGGUCAACCUGCCAAUGUAAUCACUUACAAUUCUUUAUUACAUGCUUUAUGUAAAAACCAUCAUGUUGAUAAGGCAAUUGCAUUGGUCAAGAAAAUUAAAGACAAAGGCAUUCAACCAGAUAUGCACACAUACAAUAUACUCAUGGUUGGACUUUGCAAACAAGGGAGAUUUCUGGACGCACAAGUGAUUUUUAAUGAUCUUUUGAUUAAAGGCUACAAUGUUACAGUCCCCACAUAUAAUAUUAUGAUCCAUGGUCUUUGUUCUGAGGGCUUGUUUGAUGAUGCUGAGUCCCUACUGUUAAAAAUGGAAGACAAUGGCUGUGUUCCUAAUGCUAUAACUUAUGAAAUAAUUAUCCUUGCUCUCUUUGAAAAUGAUGAGAAUGAUAAGGCAUUGAAACUUUUACAUGAAAUGAUUGGCAGUGGUCUAAUGUAAGAGGAGAACCAGUUUGAGUAAAAGUUUCAAUUGGUUCUAAUGCAGGAAUGGAUAUACACGAGCUCAGUAUUUUGAGGAUAUGAUACUUCUCAGUCCUCACUCAGCUUAAGGAUUCUUGUUUAUUCUUCAUUGAUACGACCAAGCUGUGCAAAUCAUAUUCCAUCGUCUCCCAGUCAAAUGUACUAGUUAUCUCACGAGUCAUCAAUGCUAAACAUGUGGCAAGCAUUUUAGAACUUGAUGAUCUAUCUAGUACCUACUCUGAUUGUUUUGAAGUACAUAUUGUGUUUAAUCUGGUUUGUUGCGCUCUAUCGGACCACUCAAGUUACGCUCUAGAUGUUCAUUCCUGAGUGUGGGUGGAGUGUGUUAAGAGUCUCAUGUUAUAUAAUAUAAGGUCUGAAAAUAAUUUUAUAAUUGGGCUAGGACUGUUCAGUUCAGAUAGAUAACUAAACCGAACCAUAACAAUGGUUCAGAAGAACUGAACCGAAAUGCUAUAGUCUUCCUCCGAACCGAACUGAACCGGAUUAAUGGUUCGGUGAACCAGUUCUUAAUUUCGAACCGAACUGUUGUCAUACAAUUUUUUUUCCAAACCAAACUGUUAUUUUUUGGGUGAACUGAACUGUGUUUAAGACGUCCUUAUGUUGCUAGUAAUAAUGUAACAUCAUAUUUAAAGCUUUACCACAAGAUGUAUUCUGGCCUUCUAUGAUUCUUGAAUUUCAUUUGGACUGUAACUCUAUUCUAUUUUAGCCGACUGUGAAGUUUAUCAUGCAAAUAUAUUCACAAAGCUGCCAUAUUCUGUGAGCUCAGGUUCUCUCCAUAUGCAAGAUAGGGGUAUG